RNAcentral lists this ribosomal RNA (474 nucleotides) under uncultured organism. RNAcentral describes it as "partial 16S ribosomal RNA". It matches the Rfam family "Bacterial small subunit ribosomal RNA", at positions 331 to 797 of the family's 1533-position model. The record is from RNAcentral.
GUACACUCCUACGGGAGGCAGCAGUGGGGAAUAUUGCACAAUGGGCGCAAGCCUGAUGCAGCCAUGCCGCGUGUAUGAAGAAGGCCUUCGGGUUGUAAAGUACUUUCAGCGGGGAGGAAGGUGUUGAGGUUAAUAACCUCAGCAAUUGACGUUACCCGCAGAAGAAGCACCGGCUAACUCCGUGCCAGCAGCCGCGGUAAUACGGAGGGUGCAAGCGUUAAUCGGAAUUACUGGGCGUAAAGCGCACGCAGGCGGUCUGUCAAGUCGGAUGUGAAAUCCCCGGGCUCAACCUGGGAACUGCAUUCGAAACUGGCAGGCUAGAGUCUUGUAGAGGGGGGUAGAAUUCCAGGUGUAGCGGUGAAAUGCGUAGAGAUCUGGAGGAAUACCGGUGGCGAAGGCGGCCCCCUGGACAAAGACUGACGCUCAGGUGCGAAAGCGUGGGGAGCAAACAGGAUUAGAAACCCCUGUAGUCCC